This 253-nucleotide ribosomal RNA is filed under the name uncultured bacterium. Its description in RNAcentral is "partial 16S ribosomal RNA". It matches the Rfam family "Bacterial small subunit ribosomal RNA", at positions 524 to 776 of the family's 1533-position model. The record is from RNAcentral.
UACGUAGGGUGCUAGCGUUGUUCGGAAUUACUGGGCGUAAAGCGCGCGUAGGCGGCCAUUCAAGUCAGGGGUGAAAGCCCAGAGCUCAACUCUGGAACUGCCCUUGAAACUGUAUGGCUUGAGUAUGAGAGAGGUGAGUGGAAUUCCCAGUGUAGAGGUGAAAUUCGUAGAUAUUGGGAAGAACACCGGUGGCGAAGGCGGCUCACUGGCUCAUUACUGACGCUCAGGCGCGACAGCGUGGGGAGCAAACAGG